GUUCUCGUUAGACCAUGAAAGCCAGCCCUUGUCUUUUCUGAGGAUUCUUCACUUUAUUUCAAUAGAACGUUAAGACUUUACUCAUAAUCUGUGAAUCCUGUGCUCGUGGAUAAAUGCAAAUAUUGCCAUCACCUUCUACUGACAGAAGACUCCGGUGUUACCAUGGAGAACAGUGUUAAUCCUUUUGUAAUUAGAGCUUUAUUUCAGUCUUCGUCGGGCAAGGAUGGAGUCGGAUUUUGUAAUAGAAGACCCGGUUUAUGUGCUGAGAUGGAUCCAAGCCAGACAGAGAGUGAUCGUGAGGACCGAAAAGUGACUUUGAGGACCAGGUAGGUGGUCCUGACUAUGCCAGUGAAGGAGACAGAAAGUCUUCAGCAGAGGAUGCGCCAUGAUCAUACCGUAAAGAGUAACUAUUGCUUUUAUAAUGUACACAGAUUAUAUUGAUAUCCCCAGCAAUAACGGGGAAGAAUAUUU
This 471-nucleotide long non-coding RNA is filed under the name Rattus norvegicus (Norway rat). RNAcentral's name for it is "long non-coding RNA NONRATT031496". The record is from RNAcentral. Lineage: Eukaryota; Metazoa; Chordata; Mammalia; Rodentia; Muridae.